UUGCUCUCUCUCUUCUGGACUCCGAUCAGGGAAGAGUUUCUCCAGGUACCUCUCCUCUGCAGUAGUGAUCUCGUUUUCACCAAUCACUGUCCCCCACCACAAGAGGCCAAGUCUCCAAUCCCCUCCUCUAAACCCGUUGCACUUCAGAACAUCUUUCAUAUCAUCUGUAGUCGUGACGUGAGAUACUCUUGAACAAUGGAACGCUACAGGUCGAGGGUAAUGUGGAACUACGGCAUAGCCCCCAGUUAUUUCAUUUGGUUCAGCCACAUAUUUAUCAGUGUACUGGUUGCGGUGUAUCCUCUUCAGAUCAUCUAUAACCAUAUGUUCCCCACUAAUGUAUUUUUCUGCAGUCCAUCGCUGUUGGAUUGGGUUCUGUUCAGACAAGGAUUCAAUAUUUGUGGGUGUUUGUUUUGAAUUUCCAUUUUUCUUAUUCAAUUACUUAUAAAGAUUAAUUCACUGUGUAAUAAAUACUAAAUUCAUACCUCGUUUUGAGGGUGAGUGGCCAUCCUUUAGAAUUCUACUGGUGCGACGGUUGGAAUGUCUCAGUCUU
Long non-coding RNA from Clupea harengus (Atlantic herring), 550 nucleotides. The record is from Ensembl. Lineage: Eukaryota; Metazoa; Chordata; Actinopteri; Clupeiformes; Clupeidae.